ACCUGCUCCUCCAGCUGGGGGCCCGCCCUGAGCCCUGGGAAGCUGCGGUUAAUCUUUAAGCCAGCCUUGCAAACAAGUGCAGCCAUUUCACCAGCCCAGGCUGGCUUCUGCUGUUGACUGGCUGUGGCACCUCAAGCAGCCCCUUUCCCCUCUAGCCUCAGUUUAUCACCGCAAGAGCUACCAUUCAUCUAGCACAACCUGACCAUCCUCACACUGGUCAGUUCCAACCUUCCCAGGAAUCUUCUGUGGCCAUGUUCACUCUGGUUUUACAGGGUGCUCCUCCCAGCUCCUCUCAGCAGGGACCUUUGCCCAGGGAAUAGAAGCCUGACCUGUCUGGGCCUUAAUUUCCCAUCUGUGAAAUGGGAGAACUUUCAAAGAAGGAAUAUGGAGGCAGGUGUGAUAUUUAAAGCUGGACCCAGGCCCACCUUUCCCUGUGCUAGGAUUCCAGGACAGGUGAGGAGCCAAGGGUGGGGUGCCCAGCCCCAAAAGGAUAGCCCUGGAGCCUGCGCCAGGGGGUGAGAGGGCAGUCUUUGUGGCCUAAAGCAGCAUUUCCUCAAUGUCCCGUUUUUCUGCUACAUUUCCUGCCCUGGUUCAGAGGUACUUAGCCUCUUUACUUACUUGGAAGUGUGACUGCCACUCAGAUGCCCUGGUCAGCCCCUCCUAAGCAGUAAUAAUUAGAACUAGGGGACUUCCAAUGGGCUGCCAGGGAUGUUUCGCAAUUAUGCACU
RNAcentral lists this long non-coding RNA (728 nucleotides) under Pan troglodytes (chimpanzee). RNAcentral describes it as "long non-coding RNA NONPTRT008919". Lineage: Eukaryota; Metazoa; Chordata; Mammalia; Primates; Hominidae. The record is from RNAcentral.